Molecule: long non-coding RNA, 619 nt
Organism: Anguilla anguilla (European eel)
Lineage: Eukaryota; Metazoa; Chordata; Actinopteri; Anguilliformes; Anguillidae
Exons: 4
Source: RefSeq, a predicted model, not a curated record
CCGAGGCGACGCGCGUUAAGCCUUGCGAGGGUUCGAGCAGGCGUGCCGCACUCUCUCCCCGUGGGCGUCUGGCUGCGUGAGUCAUCCCCCCGUGCGUUCUUUCGCGCGGACAAAUUCGUUUAGACAUUUUCAUUUGGUGCGCAAAUUGGGAACGGGGAUAUUACGAUGCACUGUGAAAGGGAAAAGUGAGGCCUCUUUUGCUAACUGCCACAUGGGACCUGGAUUCAAACGCAUUCUACUUCACUCAUGAAGAUAGCAGCUUGUCAGAAAGCACCUUCUGAUCUGUGGAACAGAAGACAAAAUGGCCGCCACAGAAGAAUUGCUGGUGCAGGCCUGCUCGAGGUAAUCAGCCAUGCAAGAUGUCUGCCUUCACGGUCUGGGGGUUUUUUAUGGACGACAUUAUUCUUCUUGCCAAAGGGAGAUUAGAUAUUCUGGGAUUCCUCCUCAGAUGCCUGCAGUUAAGUAUCUUGGUCUUAAAUAAACUUUGACAAGAGAUAACAUUAUGUUGACUAUGUGGAAACCUCUUCUGGAGAGGUACUACAACAAAGAAAACAUUCUUAUGUAAAAGGUGCGCAUUGCGUGUGUGCUAUCUUGUCAAAUAAAUAUCAUUAUGUGUGUG